Molecule: ribosomal RNA, 253 nt
Filed under: uncultured bacterium
Lineage: Bacteria
Description: partial 16S ribosomal RNA
Rfam family: Bacterial small subunit ribosomal RNA
Source: RNAcentral
UACGUAGGGUGCAAGCGUUGUCCGGAAUUAUUGGGCGUAAAGAGCUCGUAGGCGGUUUGUCGCGUCUGCUGUGGAAACUCGGGGCUUAACCCCGGGCCUGCAGUGGGUACGGGCAGACUAGAGUGCGGUAGGGGAGACUGGAAUUCCUGGUGUAGCGGUGAAAUGCGCAGAUAUCAGGAGGAACACCGGUGGCGAAGGCGGUUCUCUGGGCAUGAUCUGACGCUGAGGAGCGAAAGUGUGGGGAGCGAACAGG